This 72-nucleotide transfer RNA is filed under the name Microcaldota archaeon. RNAcentral's name for it is "Candidatus Micrarchaeota archaeon (hot springs metagenome) tRNA-Thr". It matches the Rfam family "tRNA". Rfam says of the family: Transfer RNA (tRNA) molecules are approximately 80 nucleotides in length. Their secondary structure includes four short double-helical elements and three loops (D, anti-codon, and T loops). Further hydrogen bonds mediate the characteristic L-shaped molecular structure. tRNAs have two regions of fundamental functional importance: the anti-codon, which is responsible for specific mRNA codon recognition, and the 3' end, to which the tRNAs corresponding amino acid is attached (by aminoacyl-tRNA synthetases). tRNAs cope with the degeneracy of the genetic code in two manners: having more than one tRNA (with a specific anti-codon) for a particular amino acid; and 'wobble' base-pairing, i.e. permitting non-standard base-pairing at the 3rd anti-codon position. Lineage: Archaea; Nanobdellati; Microcaldota. The record is from RNAcentral. RNAcentral also lists the same sequence under 1 other name.
GCCCCAGUAGCUCAGUGGUAGAGCGUUUGCGUGGUAAGCAAAAGGUCGCGAGUUCAAUCCUCGCCUGGGGCU